GACGAACGCUGGCGGCGUGCCUAAUACAUGCAAGUAGAACGCUGAAGGAGGAGCUUGCUUCUCUGGAUGAGUUGCGAACGGGUGAGUAACGCGUAGGUAACCUGCCUGGUAGCGGGGGAUAACUAUUGGAAACGAUAGCUAAUACCGCAUAAGAGUAGAUGUUGCAUGACAUUUACUUAAAAGGUGCAAUUGCAUCACUACCAGAUGGACCUGCGUUGUAUUAGCUAGUUGGUGAGGUAACGGCUCACCAAGGCAACGAUACAUAGCCGACCUGAGAGGGUGAGCGGCCACACUGGGACUGAGACACGGCCCAGACUCCUACGGGAGGCAGCAGUAGGGAACCUUCGGCAAUGGACGGAAGUCUGACCGAGCAACGCCGCGUGAGUGAAGAAGGUUUUCGGAUCGUAAAGCUCGGUUGUAAGAGAAGAACGAGUGUGAGAGUGGAAAGUUCACACUGUGACGGUAUCUUACCAGAAAGGGACGGCUAACUACGUG
Molecule: ribosomal RNA, 495 nt
Filed under: uncultured bacterium
Lineage: Bacteria
Description: partial 16S ribosomal RNA
Rfam family: Bacterial small subunit ribosomal RNA
Source: RNAcentral